Molecule: ribosomal RNA, 492 nt
Filed under: uncultured bacterium
Lineage: Bacteria
Description: partial 16S ribosomal RNA
Rfam family: Bacterial small subunit ribosomal RNA
Source: RNAcentral
AGUGAACGCUGGCGGUAGGCCUAACACAUGCAAGUCGAACGGCAGCACAGUAAGAGCUUGCUCUUACUGGUGGCGAGUGGCGGACGGGUGAGGAAUACAUCGGAAUCUACUUUUUCGUGGGGGAUAACGUAGGGAAACUUACGCUAAUACCGCAUACGACCUACGGGUGAAAGCAGGGGAUCUUCGGACCUUGCGCGAUUGAAUGAGCCGAUGUCGGAUUAGCUAGUUGGCGGGGUAAAGGCCCACCAAGGCGACGAUCCGUAGCUGGUCUGAGAGGAUGAUCAGCCACACUGGAACUGAGACACGGUCCAGACUCCUACGGGAGGCAGCAGUGGGGAAUAUUGGACAAUGGGCGAAAGCCUGAUCCAGCCAUACCGCGUGGGUGAAGAAGGCCUUCGGGUUGUAAAGCCCUUUUGUUGGGAAAGAAAAGCAGCAGGUUAAUACCCCGCUGUUCUGACGGUACCCAAAGAAUAAGCACCGGCUAACUUCGUG